This is a non-coding RNA of Lineolata rhizophorae, 72 nucleotides long. The record is from the annotation of a GenBank genome assembly. Lineage: Eukaryota; Fungi; Ascomycota; Dothideomycetes; Lineolatales; Lineolataceae.
GACUGUUUGGCGCAAUGGUAGCGCGUGCCCCUCCUAAGGGCAAGGCUGUGGGUUCGAGUCCCAUGACGGUCG